RNAcentral lists this long non-coding RNA (905 nucleotides) under Heterocephalus glaber (naked mole-rat). Its description in RNAcentral is "lncRNA (ENSHGLG00000049450.1)". Lineage: Eukaryota; Metazoa; Chordata; Mammalia; Rodentia; Bathyergidae. The record is from RNAcentral.
CCUCAGCCGGGUCCGCCGCAGCCUCCUCCUCCGCCGCCGCCUGAGGAGUCGUCGGACAGCGAGCCCGAGGCAGAGCCCGGCUCCCCGCAGAAGCUCAUCCGCAAGGUGUCCACGUCGGGCCAGAUCCGCCAGAAGCAACAAGAGAAGUAACUAAGACAGAGGUGGCUGCUGCUGCUGCUGCUGCUGCUGCUGUGCUGUGAAAUACACUUUGAGAAACAAGACCCUUCUUGUGAAGAGAAGCCUACCAAGCUCCAAAGAGAUCUUUAGGGUCUCCCUUUGUAGUUCAGGCUCGCCCUGGACUCACUAUGUAGCUCAGGCUGGCCUCGAACUCGAAGCAUUCCUCCUACCUCAGCCUCCCAAGUGCUAGGAUUACAGGUGUGUGCCACCAUGCCAGGUUGAAUUCACUUUUUUUUUUUUGAGGCAGGUCUCCCUAUGUAUUCCAGGCUGGCCUUGAAUUCGUGGCAAUCCUCCUGCCUCAGCCUCCUGAGUGCUGGGAUCACAGGAGUGCGACAUGGUUUUUAGUGUAUUCACAGUUGUGCACCUGUCAGCACAAGCGAUUUUAGAACAUUCUUAUCACCCCAUUUCCUCCCAGCUCCUCCUACCCUAGGCAACCACUGAUCUCUUUUCUAUGUAUUUGCUAAUUCUGAUACAGCAUGUGGUCUGUUGUGUCUGGUUUCUCUUAGCAUAUUUUCGACGCUCCUUUAUGUUGUAGCAUGCAUUGGUACAUCAUUCCUUUUUAUUGUUUGUUUUUUUUUUUUUUGGUACCGGCGGUCGAACUCAGGACCUUGUGCUUGGGAGGCAGGCGGGGCGAACCACUGAGCUACAUUCCUGGCCCCCUCCCCUUUUUAUUGUUGAAUAAUGUUACAUUGUAAUGAUAUUGCUGCACUUUAUUCAGUCAUCAGCUG